Molecule: unclassified non-coding RNA, 322 nt
Filed under: Coprinopsis calospora
Lineage: Eukaryota; Fungi; Basidiomycota; Agaricomycetes; Agaricales; Psathyrellaceae
Description: partial internal transcribed spacer region
Rfam family: Eukaryotic small subunit ribosomal RNA (bases 1-46)
Source: RNAcentral
AAGUCGUAACAAGGUUUCCGUAGGUGAACCUGCGGAAGGAUCAUUAUUGAAUAAAUCUGACGUGGUUGUCGCUGGCUCCCACGGGAGUAUGUGCACGCCCGUCACCUUUAUUUCUCCACCUGUGCACACACUGUAGGCCUGGAUACCUCUCGUCGCAAGGCGGAUGCGUGGCUUGCUGUCGCUUUCGAAAGAAGGCCGGCUUGCCAUGAAUUUCCAGGUCUAUGAUUUCUUACACACCCCAAACUGAAUGUUAUGGAAUGUCAUCUCAAGGCCUUGUGCCUAUAAACCUAUACAACUUUCAGCAACGGAUCUCUUGGCUCUC